AAAUUGAAGAGUUUGAUCAUGGCUCAGAUUGAACGCUGGCGGCAGGCCUAACACAUGCAAGUCGAGCGGCAGCGGAAAGUAGCUUGCUACUUUGCCGGCGAGCGGCGGACGGGUGAGUAAUGUCUGGGAAACUGCCUGAUGGAGGGGGAUAACUACUGGAAACGGUAGCUAAUACCGCAUAACGUCGCAAGACCAAAGAGGGGGACCUUCGGGCCUCUUGCCAUCAGAUGUGCCCAGAUGGGAUUAGCUAGUAGGUGGGGUAACGGCUCACCUAGGCGACGAUCCCUAGCUGGUCUGAGAGGAUGACCAGCCACACUGGAACUGAGACACGGUCCAGACUCCUACGGGAGGCAGCAGUGGGGAAUAUUGCACAAUGGGCGCAAGCCUGAUGCAGCCAUGCCGCGUGUAUGAAGAAGGCCUUCGGGUUGUAAAGUACUU
This 438-nucleotide ribosomal RNA is filed under the name Enterobacter roggenkampii. Its description in RNAcentral is "bacterial SSU rRNA". It matches the Rfam family "Bacterial small subunit ribosomal RNA", at positions 1 to 435 of the family's 1533-position model. The record is from RNAcentral. Lineage: Bacteria; Pseudomonadati; Pseudomonadota; Gammaproteobacteria; Enterobacterales; Enterobacteriaceae.